Gallus gallus (chicken) is the source of this 2548-nucleotide long non-coding RNA. NCBI's taxonomy places the organism in Eukaryota, Metazoa, Chordata, Aves, Galliformes, Phasianidae. The record is from Ensembl.
GCAAUGGUAAAACUGAGAAAACACGUGCAGAAAUAUCAUCUCUUCUCAUUGAUGUCCAUAUCUCAUAGUCACUGCUUUGCAUUGAGAUUCAAAACGCUAUUAAAAGAAACAUGUUCAGAAUAAAAGUUAAACCCUUUUUCUCUAUAAUAAUUCAAAUGUUAUUGAAAAGCAGGUGUAGACCACAAAUACAUAAGGAGUUACAGAACUAAUAUAAAUUCAGUAUAAUUUCAACAUCAAUUUUACUAACAUUUUAAUUUGAUGAUAAUCUUUUGCAAAGAUAAAGUGAAUGUUUAGGUGUGAAAAGCUACUAUGCACAAGAAAUUUCUGUUUCCUAGUUGUGGUUUUGGAACAUGUCUUAUAUCAAAGUGUAAGUGCAUACACACCAGCAGAAGUCCUUUUGGCCCAGUCUUUGCACUGGGAAAAUACCUGUAUAAAAAUAGAUUUCCUACUCAGCUGACGUGAUACCAAAGAUAUGCAUGUUUACUUAAAUUUGUAUUGCUCAUACUCAUAGUACACCUACUUUUAUGGCAUUUGCACUUGAGUCCAGUUUUUGAUGCAUUUUGCAAUUGAAAGAUGCUUUCCUCAGGACUUUCAGCCUAUGAACACUGACUAGAAUGGUUCACCCUGGUGGUAACACUAUAGAAUAGUUGGGUUACAAUCUCUGUGUUUGAAGUUUAGUAUAUAUAGAAAAUUUUUUAUAUGAUCUCACACCACGUUCUUCUCCCUGAACCAGAAUACUAUGGAUUUGAAGGGUGUACUGUUCCAUUAUUAUAUAUAUCCACUAUAUAUCCACUAUUGUGUGAAUGAGAAAUUAGUUGGAUGAUCUCAGUCAGAGGGCAGUGGUCAAUGGAUCUAUGUCCAGGUGGAUGCCGAUCAUGAGUGGUAUAUCCUAUGGCUUUGUCUUGGGAUUAGUACUCUUCAACGUCUUUAUCAAUGACCUGAAUAUUAGGGCUGAGUACACCCUCAGCAAGUUUGCUGGUGAUGCUGAAUGGUGCAGCUGAUAUAACAGAAGGAAGGAAUACCAUCCAGAAGGACCUGAACAAAGUGGGCCCACAUGAAUCUAGUGAAAUUUGUCAGGGCUGAGUUCAAGAUACAGUACUUGGGUUGGAGCAGUCUCAGGUAAGAGUACAGACUAGGAGAAGAACUCUUUGACAGCAGCCCUGCAGAGAAGGACUUUGUUGUUCUGGAGAACAAAAAGCUGGACAUUUAAGUGCUUUCUGUAUAUGAUAAUUCCUCCAAAAGUUCAUUGGAAUGCUUUUGAGUGAAUUCACUGCAGUAACAGGCAUUUAUUCAAGUCAUUGUUUACAAGGGAUGUUUUCUAAGUACCUGCAUAUAUUCUUUUAUUUUAGUUCUUUCAUGAUCUUCACUUUUUGAAAGAGCUAGUGGUGAAUGAGGAUGAUGAUUAAUGUUUUCUUUCCAGAAUUUCUUAAAGAAUGCUAAGAGAUUGCCUUCUCAUCUAAGUUACUAUGAAUCUGUUGAUCUUAGAUGUUUUUUAUACUUCUUCAAAAUAGUGUUUGAAAUCAUAAGAACACUUAACACUAUUUACUCUCAAAACACUCUUGCAGAAUUGAGAAGUGCUACAAAUAUCAUUUUACAAACUCAAAAAAGUGAGUUUGUGUAGAACAUGAAAUUUAGGUCUUCUUACCUGCACCUGAUGUUAUGACAUGUAUUUAUUACUUGACUGAAGAAAUGUGAUCUUCAGAUUUUAAAACUGUUCUGAUAUUUAAGUAUCAGUAUAUGAGUGUCAUGUUUCAAGGUACAGGCUUCUGCUCUUCUGUGCGCUUGGCAAACCAAAAGAUUGAUGAUAAAAAGUGCAAAUAAUUGGUAGAAUUUUCAAUAUUACCUUAGAUUUCCCACCAUUUAUCUAACAAUUUUACUAAACAGGAUUUUUUCAUAAGAAAUGGCAAAUAGGAACUUAUGCCUUCUCUAAGUGUGCCUGGUAACAGCCUUUGAGAAACUGCACUUUUCAAAAUAAAAAUUUAGAAUAUCACCGAAUAUCAUAGGAAACUCAAAGCCUACAACAUUCAUAAUCUUUUUUAACUUUUGUCCAUGUCAUUGAGAUUUGCAAUAUUGCUAUGAAAUAUAUUAUUUUAGACUUGCCAAAAAUAAAAAAAAAAAGACACUUUUUGUAUGUUAUUAAACCGAGGUUUUUUUUUAAAGAUCUGUACUGGAAUAUUUCUUCUAUGAUAAAAACAACAUUUCCCAAUAUAGUGUAGGUAGAUGUUUAUUGAAGGGGAAAAUAAUCAAAUGGCAUUGCAUUUUUGGUUUCCUGCAGCCAAAGAGAGGUUAUUGGUUAGAAAUUAUUAUUAAUAACAUAGAGGAAUUAGAGAGUGUGGAAAAAUGUAGGUAGAAAGCAAUGGAUUUCUCACCUGUAGUGCCUCCAUAAUUUAUUGAGUGCAACUCUGCUUUGGAAAGAUAUAAUAAAAGAAAACUUACUUCUGCUGUUUGGAUAGCUUAUUGAAUUUAUUUUUCUGUGUGUAGAAAAUGAGUCUGUUAUUGCUCCCUUGGUAUUUGAGAUGAAUUGAUAGAAAUUUAUAUUCUAUUUCAG